UACGUAGGGGGCAAGCGUUGUCCGGAAUCAUUGGGCGUAAAGCGCGUGUAGGCGGUUUGUCGCGUCUGCCGUGAAAAUCCGGGGCUCAACCCCGGACUUGCGGUGGGUACGGGCAGACUAGAGUGUGGUAGGGGAGACUGGAAUUCCUGGUGUAGCAGUGAAAUGCGUAGAUAUCAAGAGGAACACCAGUGGCGAAGGCGAGUCCCUGGACAACACCUGACACUGAGGCACGAAAGCUAGGGGAGCAAACAGG
This 253-nucleotide ribosomal RNA is filed under the name uncultured bacterium. RNAcentral describes it as "partial 16S ribosomal RNA". It matches the Rfam family "Bacterial small subunit ribosomal RNA", at positions 524 to 776 of the family's 1533-position model. The record is from RNAcentral.